Long non-coding RNA from Polypterus senegalus (gray bichir), 634 nucleotides. RefSeq lists it as uncharacterized. Lineage: Eukaryota; Metazoa; Chordata; Cladistia; Polypteriformes; Polypteridae. The transcript is spliced from 4 exons. The record is from RefSeq and is a predicted model, not a curated record.
GAUAAGUUGGGAAUCGUCCCUGAUAAAGUUUGGGAAGAAAUUCAAGAAUGUGAAGUUGAUGUGGUCCUGUCCCCGGACACAGCUCAUAGUGACAUUUCUGUGGAUAACGAUGCAGCACAAGUGAGAUUUACAGGAGACGUUAAGGGCAACAACAAAUGGUGCAGUGUUACUGGCAGUGACUGGCUAAAAGCACAGCAGGUUCACUACUGGGAGGUGGAGGUUGGUGAAAAAGGAAGUUGGGCAAUUGGACUGGCAUCUGAGAGCAUCAAAGACAAGCAGCUCAUUUCUGAGAGCCCAACAAAUGGAUUGUGGAUCAUCCGGCUAUGUAAAGGGAAGAAGUUAGAGGCCAUCUCAAACACUGAUGUCAAGGAAUGUCAAAUAAAACCGAAAAAAGUGGGAUUGCAUUGGCAAGGAAACUGCUUGCGUGUUUAUGAUAAGGAGAAAAAACAGCUCAUCCACAAAUUUGAUAUUGAGUUCAAUGAGCACUUGUAUCCUGUCUUCAGUCCAGGGUCACAUGACAGAGGACCAUUAAUCAUCAAAAUUAAAAACACAGAAACUGAAAAUCUGAAACGGAACUUUGGUAAGCAUACUCACUUGAGAUUGUUAACUACUAUAUACAAUGUGCUAACCCUGC